RNAcentral lists this ribosomal RNA (253 nucleotides) under uncultured bacterium. Its description in RNAcentral is "partial 16S ribosomal RNA". It matches the Rfam family "Bacterial small subunit ribosomal RNA", at positions 524 to 776 of the family's 1533-position model. The record is from RNAcentral.
UACGUAGGGUGCAAGCGUUGUCCGGAUUUAUUGGGCGUAAAGAGCUCGUAGGCGGUCUGUCGCGUCGGAUGUGAAAACCCAGGGCUCAACCCUGGGCCUGCAUUCGAUACGGGCAGACUAGAGUAUGGCAGGGGAGACUGGAAUUCCUGGUGUAGCGGUGAAAUGCGCAGAUAUCAGGAGGAACACCCGUGGCGAAGGCGGCUCUCUGGGACGGUACUGACGCUGAGACGCGAAAGCGUGGGGAGCGAACAGG